RNAcentral lists this ribosomal RNA (855 nucleotides) under Metafruticicola naxiana. RNAcentral describes it as "partial 16S ribosomal RNA". The record is from RNAcentral. Lineage: Eukaryota; Metazoa; Mollusca; Gastropoda; Stylommatophora; Hygromiidae.
AAUAACUAAAAGUGCGGAAAAUUCGAUUUCACGAAAAAAUGUGAGCUAAAAAGUUAAAUGUAUUAGCAUAUAAAUUAUAUGUUACAAAAUAUAAAUUAUAGAUCUUUUUAGGGGUGAUAGGCCUAUCAAAUGUUUUGAUAUCUUGAUUUAUAAUAAAUAUAUUAAGUAUUAUGUCAAUUUAAAAAUUAUAAGGUUUUUAAAUAAUACAAUAUAUAUUUCACAUAUAGUAAAUGACUUAACAGUUAUUACUUAUUAAUUAUAAAAUUUUUUAUUUAUAAUAUGUAUAUUAUAUUGUAACACUGUACAUAAUUUCUAGUAAUAUAGAUAAUGUUACUAUCAGUAUAUAAUUAAUUUUAGUUAAGGAACUCGGCAAGCAUUUUACUCAACUGUUUAUCAAAAACAUGCCCUUAGUUAUUUUUAAGGGUUACCUCUGCUCAAUGGGAGACUAAAUAGCCGCAGUACUUUGACUGUGCAAAGGUAGCAUAAUCAUUUGAUUCAUAAUUGGAAUCUAGUAUGAAUGGGAAUAUGGGUAAGUUCUGUCUCGCUAUAAUUAAGAGAAGUUAUUUAAUAAGUGAAAAUACUUAUAUAUUAUAAAAAAGACGAGAAGACCCUAGAAAUUUUAUAUAUAUGUAAUUAAAUUACAGUCUAUUUUGUUGGGGCGACAGGGUAAAGAUAAUCAUACCUAAAAUAGUAUAAAAACUAAUUGUAAAUAGUAAUUAAAUUACUCUAGGGAUAACAGCAUAAUGUAUAUUAAGUUUGUGACCUCGAUGUUGGACUAGGAUAACUAUUACUUAAAAGGCGAUAGUGAAGGCUCUGUUCGAGCUUUUAACUCCUACAUGAUCUGAGUCAGACCGG